CCUACGGGGGGCUGCAGUGGGGAAUAUUGGACAAUGGGGGGAACCCUGAUCCAGCCAUGCCGCGUGUGUGAAGAAGGCCCUCGGGUUGUAAAGCACUUUCAGUGAGGAAGAACGCCUGGUGGUUAAUACCCAUUAGGAAAGACAUCACUCACAGAAGAAGCACCGGCUAACUCCGUGCCAGCAGCCGCGGUAAUACGGAGGGUGCGAGCGUUAAUCGGAAUUACUGGGCGUAAAGCGCGCGUAGGUGGCUUGAUAAGCCGGUUGUGAAAGCCCCGGGCUCAACCUGGGAACGGCAUCCGGAACUGUCAAGCUAGAGUGCAGGAGAGGAAGGUAGAAUUCCCGGUGUAGCGGUGAAAUGCGUAGAGAUCGGGAGGAAUACCAGUGGCGAAGGCGGCCUUCUGGACUGACACUGACGCUGAGGUGCGAAAGCGUGGGUAGCAAACAGGAUUAGAUACCCGAGUAGUC
This 465-nucleotide ribosomal RNA is filed under the name Vreelandella stevensii. RNAcentral's name for it is "partial 16S ribosomal RNA". It matches the Rfam family "Bacterial small subunit ribosomal RNA", at positions 338 to 795 of the family's 1533-position model. The record is from RNAcentral. Lineage: Bacteria; Pseudomonadati; Pseudomonadota; Gammaproteobacteria; Oceanospirillales; Halomonadaceae.